GACGAACGCUGGCGGCGUGCCUAACACAUGCAAGUCGUACGGGACCGGGGGCAACUCCGGUUCAGUGGCAGACGGGUGCGUAACACGUGAGGAACUUGUCCGGUGGCGGGGAUAGCCGGCCAACGGCCGGGUAAUACCGCAUACGCGUCGUUCGGGGCAUCCCUGGGCGAGGAAAGCAGCCGCAAGGUUGCGCCGACGGAGGGCCUCGCGACCUAUCAGCUUGUUGGCGGGGUAACGGCCCACCAAGGCGACGACGGGUAGCUGGUCUGAGAGGAUGAUCAGCCACAUUGGGAC
This 294-nucleotide ribosomal RNA is filed under the name uncultured bacterium. RNAcentral's name for it is "partial 16S ribosomal RNA". It matches the Rfam family "Bacterial small subunit ribosomal RNA", at positions 28 to 319 of the family's 1533-position model. The record is from RNAcentral.